UACAGAGGGUGCGAGCGUUGUCCGGAAUCACUGGGCGUAAAGGGCGCGUAGGUGGCGACCCAAGUCGAUGGUGAAAGCUCGCCGCUCAACGGCGAGUCGGCCACCGAUACUGGGUUGCUGGAGCACUGUAGAGGCAGAUGGAAUUCCGGGUGUAGCGGUGGAAUGCGUAGAGGAUCCGGAAGAACACCGGUGGCGAAGGCGGUCUGCUGGGCAGUUGCUGGACACUGAGG
RNAcentral lists this ribosomal RNA (230 nucleotides) under uncultured bacterium. RNAcentral describes it as "partial 16S ribosomal RNA". It matches the Rfam family "Bacterial small subunit ribosomal RNA", at positions 524 to 751 of the family's 1533-position model. The record is from RNAcentral.